CCUACGGGAGGCAGCAGUGGGGAAUAUUGCACAAUGGGGGGAACCCUGAUGCAGCGACGCCGCGUGGGUGAAGGAGUAUUUCGGUAUGUAAAGCCCUAUCAGCAGGGAAGAACAAUGACGGUACCUGACUAAGAAGCACCGGCUAAAUACGUGCCAGCAGCCGCGGUAAUACGUAUGGUGCACGCGUUAUCCGGAUUUACUGGGUGUAAAGGGAGCGCAGGCGGCGCGUUAAGCCUGGUGUGAAAGUCCGCGGCCCAACCGCGGGACUGCAGUGGGAACUGGCGCGCUGGAGUGCCGGAGGAGUAGGCGGAAUGCCUGGUGUAGCGGUGAAAUGCGUAGAUAUUAGGAGGAACACCAGUGGCGAAGGCGGCCUACUGGACGGUGACUGACGCUGAGGCUCGAAAGCGUGGGGAGCAAACAGGAUUAGAUACCCCAGUAGUC
Molecule: ribosomal RNA, 441 nt
Filed under: uncultured bacterium
Lineage: Bacteria
Description: partial 16S ribosomal RNA
Rfam family: Bacterial small subunit ribosomal RNA
Source: RNAcentral